This 1459-nucleotide long non-coding RNA is filed under the name Papio anubis (olive baboon). RNAcentral describes it as "lncRNA (ENSPANG00000037178.1)". The record is from RNAcentral. Lineage: Eukaryota; Metazoa; Chordata; Mammalia; Primates; Cercopithecidae.
GGCUAGUGCAUGCUUGGGCAUCCUCCCCAAAGUAAAGGGUGUCUUACUGCACCUUGUGCCACCUAUCACUAAAAGAAAAGUAUAUUAGAAGAUCUCUUCAGUUAUUGGAGAUAUCCCACACUUGAAAAUAUUGCUCUAAUGUGUUUAUUUGGUGACAGAAAAGACAACUGAUAUGAUUUGGCUGUGUCUGCACCCAAAUCUCAUCUUAAAUUGUAUUUCCCAUAAUCCCCAAAUGUCAUGGGAGAACCCCAGUAGGAGGUAAUUGAAUCAUGGGGGCAGUUACCCCCAGGCUGUUUUAUGAUAGUGAAUGAGUUUUCAUGAGAUAUGAUGGUUUUAUAAGUAGCUUUUCCCGCUUUGCUCAGCACUUCUCUCUCCUGCUGCCAUGUGAAGAAGGAUGUGUUUGCUUCACCUUCCACCAUGAUUGCGAGUUUCCUGAGGCCUCCUCAGCCACACGGAAAUCAAUCAUUGUUGAAACUUCUGUCCUCAAGUUUAAUAUGAGAGAGUAUAAAACUAGGGUUCUACACAAUGAGCUCCCGGUCUGCAGAGCUUCUGGGUGUGAUUUGCUGAAAAAGGUUUCAGUUUAGAGAUGAAGAAGCAGCAGCCAGAGGAAGAAAGUAAAAGCAGCUAUAUAGGGAAAGGAAGGACACACUCAGGAUUCCUGCCAACCUCAAGAUCAAACCUAGGAAUCCUAUAUGUAGGAAAUUAAGGUGAACUUGAAACUAUUCAUUAUUAUAGGAAGAACCAGGCAGAAAGAGAGCUCAGUAGCAGGUAAGCCUCGUGGUAUUAGAAUUACCCUGUGGGACAGGGGACAUAACCAAGAAGCAAGGACACUGAACCCACCACCAGGACACUGCAAGCACAGAAAUUAGACAACUCAGUUCAAGUUGACUGAGAAUUUUCUGGUGAUACAAAAUUAGUUGUGGCUUUACUCAAUUUGAAGGAAUGAGAAUUAUUCAAUCCUCUAGCUUCGCACAGUAGCAAAUUAGACCAGAUUACAGCUUCAAAAAGUUACUUGGUCCAGGUAAUGUUAUACAAGCUCCUUGUAGAUGUGUUAUACAUGUUUUUAAUAUAAUAAGCUUGACCUUGGCCACUAUAGACAUAUAUAUAUUUCUGGAUACUGUUGCUUAUAAAAAGGCUUUGAGUAGCAAUUGGCCUUGUUCACCAAACUACUAAUGUAAUGACAACAUGCUCUGUUUUGAGAGGAUAUCUUGAGUUAAAAUUUUUUCAGUUUCUUCUUCAGAUAAAUGUAUGUCUGUCAUCCCAAAGAAUAAUGAGAACUACUGAAUCCAAAUUGCUUCACCUCUCAUAAAAGAAGUUUAGAAAAAAAGCCAAGUACAGUUAUGGUUAUUAACUUGUAUUAAGUGCUUUGUAAAAUAAUACAGUAAUAUUAAAAUAUAUCAAUAAUGAUGAUGACAGUUCUUAGUCUAAUACUGCUGAUUACCAGAUAGAUACGUGAGAG